RNAcentral lists this ribosomal RNA (300 nucleotides) under uncultured bacterium. Its description in RNAcentral is "bacterial SSU rRNA". It matches the Rfam family "Bacterial small subunit ribosomal RNA", at positions 1083 to 1382 of the family's 1533-position model. The record is from RNAcentral.
AGUCCCUUAACGAGCGAAACCCUUGUCACUAGUUGCCAGCGCGUCAUGGCGGGGACUCUAGUGAGACUGCCGGUGUUAAACCGGAGGAAGGUGGGGAUGACGUCAAGUCCUCAUGGCCUUUAUGUCCAGGGCUGCACACGUCCUACAAUGCGACGCACAAAGGGAAGCGAAAUCGCGAGAUCAAGCAAAUCCCAGAAAACGUCGCUCAGUUCGGAUUGCAGGCUGCAACUCGCCUGCAUGAAGCCGGAAUCGCUAGUAAUCGCGGAUCAGCAUGCCGCGGUGAAUAUGUUCCUGAGCCUU